RNAcentral lists this long non-coding RNA (8451 nucleotides) under Salvia miltiorrhiza (redroot sage). RNAcentral describes it as "long non-coding RNA (SMIL_LNC008297)". The record is from RNAcentral. Lineage: Eukaryota; Viridiplantae; Streptophyta; Magnoliopsida; Lamiales; Lamiaceae.
AACUUGCUGUGUCGAGGCUUGAUUAGUGUGUAUGUGUGUCCUGUUGAGUAUGUGCGGUAUGUGUGUGAGUCGGUGGGGAGGGGGCGGCGAAGUGGCGGCUUCCGCUGCUGCUCGCCGGAAACAGAGGGAUGAGAUCAGAGGGAGACGGACUGGGCUGGGGUUGCAGAGGGCUGGACUGGAGGUCAGGCGCGGCGGUCGGCGGUAGUCCUCGCUGCUGUCGCCUGGAAUCGGAGCAAGGAGGUGUGAAGUCGGUGGUGUUGAGGCUAGGGCUCCGAUGACGGCUUUGCUGCUGUCAAUUGGAGCGAGAGAGGGGUGGGUCUUCGGAUCUGAGAACGAGGGAGGCGGCGGCGCCUCGCCGUCGCCAAGGAGGAAGGCGGAGCGGCGGCUUGUCGCUGCUGAAAUCGUCGGGGGUGCGAAAAGUGGGAGAGAAGCAGGAACAGUGGGGUGGGUAUCGUGAGGAGAGGGAGGCGGCGGCGUCUUCGCCGCAGCCGAGGAAGGAGGCGGCGCACGGGGUACCGUCGGGUUGAGUCACAGAACCGAGUGAGAGGUGGCCGGAGUUCGGAGAGGGAGGCUGGGGCGGAGGUUGCGGGUAGCAGAGAGAGAGAGAGAGAGAGAGGAAAUGAUUUUGGUGAAGAAGGAGAAGGGGAAAGUGUUUUGGACUGUUACGGUUGAGUUUAGACUGUUGGGCCAUCUUUAUUUAAUUUAAUUGGGCCUAUUGGUUGUUUAGCUGGGCCGAUUUUAAAUUGAGUACAUGGGGCUGCUUUUGUUUAAAGCUAGGCCCGGUUUUAAAUUAAAUUUGGGCUACCUUAUAUUUAAAGGUUGACUGCAUUUUUAGUUAAGAAAGGCUUGUUAAUGAAAUACUUUAAUUAGAUUAUAUAAAUAGUUUGAUUUAAUUAUUUUAAGGAUGAUGCAUAAUAAUUAUGUUAUUAUUAUGUGCAUAUUUUAAGUAAUUAUUCAUCACAUGCUAAGCAUGACAUGACAUUGCAUUUGCAUCAUGCAAUAAAAUUUCUUAUGAUUUAAAUUGGUUUUCAUUAAAUCCAAUUAUUAAAGAAAAUCGAGUAAGGAUAUUGUUGGUGUCCUUGACUCAAGAAUAUUAGUUUUCAAAUAUUUAUUAUUAAAUUUUGGAAACCCGGCGUGAUGAUUCAAGAAUGUUUAGUACAUCCACUAAGACUUUAAGUUAGUUUCACGAGACCUAUUAAGAAUAGAAUUUCUUGUAGGCUUUAUGAACCAAGGGGAUUAGCGCCGCUUUCCCAAGACGAGUUUAUGUGAUUAUGAUCUUCAGGCUUUGCCUAUCCAGGUGGGCUUACUUUCCAAAUGUAUAAAGUAUGAUUGAGUUAUUAAGCUCUAAAUGUUUUAAUGCAAUGCAAACUGUUUAUCCAAUAAAAUGUUUAUGUGCACUCUGCUCUGUUUAAUGCUCGCAAAGUUAAUCAAUUGAGGUUCUCUUAUGACCUAACACGUUGUCUGAGAAUCGUGUACACAUGCUAGUUGACCUGGUGGGUUGAUCUCCAUUGGGCACUAGCCAGAGGCGUUAUAAGGGUGCUCGACGGGAUGUGUUCCGGAGCAUGUAUCAUGUAAGGCCUGCCUGGGUAGCGUCCCGAGGUCAAUUCAACUUGUCUGAGUUACGUCCUCAGGGCAAGUGCAAUGGGAGAAAUGGAUCCGUCGGUGGCUAGAGGUCCGGGAUCACAGCGAGUAACAGAAAGGGAGUGUGACAUGUGCGCACAAAUGAAAAAUGUUUUAACAUGCUUAGAAGUUCUUUCAAUUUAAAACCUUCUAAGUCAUGUCAAGUAUAAUUGGAUAAACUGUCUUUACGAAAAUAUGAAAUGUUUAUGAAAAUGCAUGCCCACUGAGUACAUUAGUACUUAGCCCAAAAAUACUUUCAAAUGUUUUCAGGUUGGCUGGCCGGUGCUGACGGGACUGAGCUGAGGCUAAGGUUUAAAGUUCUAUAUAGACUUCCGCUGUAGUAAUAACUCUUAUACAUCUUUUGUUUUCUCAACUUAGGAUGACUUCAUGUCGAGCUUCAUUUUAAAAUUUCUAGUUUUAUAUGUUAAUGAACGUCGGUUGUCAGAAACAUGAAACAAAACUUGUGAUCCAAAGGGGCCUAGCCCGACUCGUUAUAUUAUUAUUCGGGUUUUAACAAGGUUGUUCCUUGUUUAUUUCUAUGAAUUAUUCACACCUCGAUCAUAUUUAUUCCUUCAAGAAUUGGGGUGUGACAGAAUGGUAUCAGAGCAUAAGUUUCCUUUCAUGACUCUGAUAACCAUAAGUUUUUUUCUAGACUUCUAAGAAUGUCAGUAAGCCUCAGCUCGCCGUCACACUGCCGCAACUAAGGUACGAUAAUAAUUUCAAAAAAAAAUUAUACAUAUAUAUAUAGAUUCGAAGUUAUGAAAGUUUUCAAGAAAAUGUGCGCCUUACGUUUAUGAUGCCAUGUGAAUGUUUUGUUUGGUCGUGUUUGGGACUACCCGAACCCAUAACGACUAAAUGAAUGUUAUUUCGUGUUUGGGACUGCCCGAGCCCUUAACGAUCAAUGUAUGUAUGGUCGAGUUAGAUCCCUUGAAUCUUUACCGGCAUAAGCUAAAAAUUUUCAUGGAAGGGGCAUUUAAUGUCCAUAUAACUCAAGGUUUUAAAGAAAGCAAAUGUAUGUAUGUAUGUAUGUAUGUAUGAAUGAAUGAAUGAAAGUGAAAGUUUUAUGUUAUCAUUUUAGGUUCACUGCCUAUAUGAUUAGAAUGAUGAGUUCUUUUAUAAACCGUUUUAGAGUAACCACCCAAUAAUGACCUUACGAAUGUUAGUCGUGAUAGCACCGCUAGAACGACAUAGAAUGGAUUUAUAUAAUACCAAAGUAUUUAUGAUUGGAGUACUUAGAAGUAAGUGCUUUAAGUUAGAAGUUGACUUAGAGUCUUUAUAAGAGAUAAGGAAUUGACAUGAGUUGGGGGCGAAGCUCCCUAUUUGACUGAGUGAUUCAUUGUGCUGGGUCUGGCCAGCCCACAUGACUAAGAUCUUGGUGAUUGUCAAUUAGAUUUUGACCUUGAGUAGAGCGCCAUCCCAAUGUAUAGACUCACACUAUAUAGUUGGCACAAUAAGAUCUUCUUUUACCACGAUAAGCACAGUAACGACUAGAAUGACUCAAUUUGUCAUUAGUUGUCAACCAUUAGAAAGAUACACUAGCAUCAACCUGUCUUAUGACCGUCAAUCGAUAGAAACAAAGCAACUUAUGGAAUCCCAAGCGGAGAACCGGAGCAGACAACGAGUAUGAUAGAGUUUUCAACAAAAUAUCAAGACGUGCUCCAAAUAUAGUGGACACUUAUGAGAAACGCGUAAAGAAAUUCGCAAACAAAUGGCGCCAUGAGAUAUUCAAUCCCCUAUCAAGCCAAAGAAAUAUUACGUAGGACAACCAACGAGCAAGACUCUCACCAUCGUCACCGCUACCAAGGAAGAAGGGAGCUCCGCACAACAUGAUUUACAUUACCUCAAGAAAGAAGUGGAGAGAAAGAAAAUGGAAUAAAGGAAACAAAAGGAANUGGGCCGAUUUUCUUUUAUUAAGCUGGGCCAUUGAUUAAAAUAAAUCAUGGGCGCCCAAAUUUUAUUUAAUUGGAAUCCUGCAAUUUUUUAAAGGAGCUACACUAUUAUAAUUAAUUAGUAUUUAUUAAGUUUAAUUAAUUAUUUCAAAGUAUUAUUUUUAUAAUAAUAUUAAAUUAUUAUUAUAAGCAUAUUCUAAGUAAUUUCUUAUUAUAUGCCAAGCAUGACAUGAUAUUGCAUUUAUUUUGCAAUAAGAGUAUUUAUGAUUUAAUUGGUUUUAUUUAUAAUUUCAAUUAUUUUAAGAAAGUUGAGUAAGAAUAUUGUUGGUGUUCUUAACUCAAGAGAAAUGUUUUCAAUUAUUUAUUCAUUAAAUUUUGAAAACCCGGCUAAGUGAAUCAUAGAAUGUUAAGCAUUACACCAUGACUUAAGAUCAAGGAGACCUAUUAAGAAUAGAAUUUCUUGUAGGCUUUGUGACCAGGGGGAUUAGCGCUGCUUUCCCAAGACAUGUUUUUAUGUGUAUGAUCUUCAGGCUUUGCCUAAUCAGGUGGGCUUACUUUCCAAAUGUACAAAGUAUGAUUGAGUUAUUAAGCUCUAAAUGUUUCAAUGAAAUGCAAAUUAUUUAUUCAAUGAAAUGAAAACUGUUUAUCCAAUAAAAUGUUUAUGUGCACUCUGCUCUGUUUAAGGCUCGCAAUUCAUGGAUCGAUCGAGGUUCUCUUAUGGCCUAACACGUUAUUUGAGAAUUGUGUACACUUGUUAGUUGUUUCGGUGGGUUGAUCUCCAUCGGGCACUAAUUCAUGUAAGAGGCGUUAUAAGGGUGCUUGGCUGGAUGUGUUCCGGAGCAUGUAUCAUGUAAGGCCUGCCUGGGUAGCGUCCCGAGGUCAAUUCAACUUGUCUGAGUUACGUCCUCAGGGCAAGUGCAAUGGGAGAAAUGGAUCCGUCGGUGGCUAAAAGGUCCGGGAUCACAGCGAGUAACAGAAAGGGAGUGUGACAUGUGCGCACAAAUGAAAGAAAUUAUUUUAACAUGCUUAGAAGUUAUUUCAAUUUAAAACCUUCUAAGUCAUGUCAAGUAUGAUUGGAUAAACUGUCUUUACGAAAAUAUGAAAUGUUUAUGAAAAUGCUUGCCCACUGAGUACAUUAGUACUUAGCCCAAAAAUACUUUCAAAUGUUUUCAGGUUGGCUGGCCGGUGCUGACGGGACGGAGCUGAGGCUAGGGUUCAAUUCCUAUGAUAGACUUCCGCUGUAGCAAUUACUCAUAUCAGUCUUUUGUUUUCCCAACUUAAGAUCUUCAUGUUAAAUUUCAAAUGAUAUAGCUGAUCGAGCUUAGACACUUCUCUAGUUUUAUGCUAAUGAAUGUCGGUUGUCAGAAGCAUGAAACAAAACUUGUGAUCCAAAGGGGCCUAGCCCGACUCUUCAUCCUAUUUUCGGGUUUUAACAAGGUUGUUCCUUGUUUAUUUCUAUGAAUUAUUUACACCUCGAUUAUAUUUAUUCAUUCAAGAAUUGGGGUGUGACAGAAUGGUAUCAGAGCAUGAGUUUUCUUUCAUGUCUCUGAUAACCAUAAGCUUUUGAUGUCGAGUCUAGAAUAGUAUCUCUAGACUUCUAAGAAUGUCAGUAGCCCUCAGCUCGCCGUCACACUGCCGCAACUAAGGUACGAUAAUAGUUUCAAAAAUAUACAUAUAUGUAUUUCAGAUGUUAUGAAAGUUUUCAAGAAAAUGUGCGCCUUAUGUUUAUGAUGCUAUGUGAAUGUAAAUUAUUUUCUGUUGUUUUUGGGACUCCGACCCAUACAACUAAGAUCAAUGUCGUGUUUGGGACUACCCGAGCCCUUAACGAAUCAAUGUAUGUAUGUAUGUAUGGUCGAGUUAGAUUCCUUGAAUCUUUCCGGCAUAAGCAAAGUUUUUCAUGAAAGGGACAUUUAAUGUCCAUAUGACUCAAAAUUUCAAAGAAAGCAAAUAUAUGUAUGUAUGUAUGUAUGAAUGAAUGAUGAGAAAGCUUUAUGUUAUCAUUUUAGGUUCACUGCCUAUAUGAUUAGAAUGAUGAGUUCUUUUACAAAUCGUUUGAGAACCACCCAAUAAUGCCUUACGAAUGUUAGUCGUGAUAGCUUGGCUAGAACAACAUAGAAUGGACUUUCAUGGUAUCAAUGACUUAUGAUGAAGUACUUAGUAGUAAGUGCUUUAAGUUAGAAGUUGACUUAGAGCUUUAUAUGAGAUAAGAAGUUGACAUGAUUGGGGGCGAAGCUCCCAUUUGACUGAGUGAUUCAUUGUGCUGGGUCUGGUCAGCCCAUAUAACUAAGAUCUCGGUGAUUGUCAAUUAGGAUUUUGACCUUGAGUAGGGCGUCAUCCCAAUGUAUAGACUCACACUAUGUAGUUGUCACAAUAAGAUCUUAUUUUACCACGAUAAGCACAGUAAUGACUAGAAUGACUUAGUUUGCUGUCAGUUCUCGAAGUACUAGAAGGUGAUAUUCUCACAGUUAGAAAGAUACACUAAGCAUCAACCUAUCUUUUGACCGAUAGUCGGUAGAAACAAAGCAACUUCUGGAAUCCCAAGUGGAGAACCGGCAGAUAACUAGUAUGAUAGAGUUUUCAACAAAAUGUCAGGACGUGCUCCAAAUUGGUGGACACUUAUGAGAAACGCGUGAAGGAGUUGCAAACGAAUGGCGCAUGAGAUAUUCAAUUCCCCUACAAGACAAAGAAAUAUUACGUAGGAGCAACCAACGAGCAAGACUCUCACCAUCGAAUCACUGCUACCAAGGAAGAAUGGGAAGACUCCGACACAAUCUGGAUAUACACCACCUCAAGAUGUGGUGAAGGAAAGAAGAUGGAAUGAAGAAAACAACAGAAACUUCAAGAAUAGAAAAAGGACUUUAGAAUAAGACUUAAGAUCCAACCCAGCCUCAGAGCCAACAACCUCAUGCUAGAAGGGUGAUUGUUUCGGCUAAAGUGUCAAAAGCUCCAUCAAUAGGAAUGUUCAAAGGAAGCAAAUACUUGUUUUAAACUGCAGAGAACUUGAACACUAUGUCUCAUUAGCCCCAAAGUUGAAUUACCUGACUUAUGACUUAAAACUCGUUGUGGUUGUGCACGUGUUGGAAAUUUGGAGACAUUAUCUCUACGGAGUUAAGUGUGAGGUCCUGGCAGAUUACAAGAAUUUGAAGUACUUUUUCGAGCAAAGGGAUUUGAAUGUAAGACAACAGAGACGACUCGAACUAGUGAAGAAUUAUGAUGGUACCAUCAAUUGGAAAUUAAGAUAAGAUGUCUCGCCACUAAAUAUGAAGUACUGAUUGGUGAUUGCCUUAUUCAGUUUAGUAAUUGUUCACCAUCCGGAGACAAUAUCAAGCUGUGUAGUUGCAUCAAUAGUUAAGUGUGAAUUGCGAGAGAGGAUUAUGAAAGUACGAAAUGAAAAUAGAUAUUGGCGAGAAAAUGUGUCUCGCUUCAAGAAUAAGAAAAACAAAAGGAUUCACGAAAGUCAGGAAUAAUGCACUAAUGGUUAGUGGAGGAUUGUGGAUGUAUACACUAAGUAUUACGUCUCGCAGUUAAGAAGGUAUGUGAUUAAGAAAGAUGAGAUAGUCCAAGCUUAGGGCUUAAGUUAUGAAGAGAAAUCAGUUUAGUGACUAGAUUGCAAGGUUCAAGUUUUACGAACAAUGAAGUUGUUCUCGUCAUGUAGUGGAACCAUCAUGAUGAAAAAGGCCACAAAAGAGAUGAAUGAAACAAAUGACUAGUAUCACAAGCUAGAAUACCAGAUAAGCAAUUCCGAGGACGGAAUUUUUAUAAGGUGGGAGGGAUGUAAUACCCCGUUUCCCCGAGCUAAGUUUAGAAUAAUUUUGAACUUAGAAAGUAAGAUGAUUCACGUCGGAUAAAAGAAAAUGAAUUUAUUUUAAAUUCCAACAAACGAUUUGCAAAUCCUUUUGUAAAUUUUAGUCAUUUAAAUUCUUAUGCAUUACAUAUUUAUUUAAAUUGAAUAUUUGAGCAUUAAGCAUUUAUAUGAACUAUAUAUUUAGAGAACCCUGAAGAAUUAUUUUAGUUCCGAUAAUUCAAGUGAAGUUUUUAAUUGUCAAGUCUAUCCUUCAAUCUCCCACACUCUACACACUCAUAGCUAGGCUGCAAUUGGCAGCAGCCAUACUCUUUCCUUCGACUCCCCCUCACUCAAAGUACACAAGGACAACUUUAAUCAAAUUUAGGCCAUGCCUGCAAUCAAAUCCGCCCCCAACUCCUUUACUGAUUCAAAGCUAUACUACUCCAAUGUUUCACUCAUUCCACACAUAAGUUUCACAAGAGAAGAAAAUCAAACCAGCCACAUUCUAGAUAUUCAGCAGCUGCACAAAAGCUUUCACCCGACAGACAAAUUCAGCAGAAUCCCUUUCAAAAAGGUUAAACCUCUAAACUCCUGUAAAUUAUGCCACUUUCUCGAGUUUCAGUUGAGCCAAAACAAAGAACCCAAGCAUACAUUCAUUAUCAUUCCAGUAAAGAAAAAGAGACACAUUCAUAGCAUCAUUUCAACAUAUAUAUUUGUAUAUGCAAAUGAACAGAGUCUAUAUAUUUUACAUGAAAUAUGAUUAUUAUUUUUUGUAAAUGAUAAAAGAAGAGUCUUGAAGCUUAACUUUUGAACUUGCUUGUCGAGGCUUGAUUGGUGUGUAUGUGUGUCCUGUUGAGUAUGUGCGGUAUGUGUGUGAGUCGGUGGGGGCGGCGAAGUGGCGCUUCCGCUGCUGUCGCCGGAAACAGAGGGAUGAGAUAGAGGGAGACGGACUGGGCUGGGGUUGCAGAGGGCUGGCUGGAGGUCAGGCGCGGCGGUCGGCGGCGCCUCGCUGCUGUCGCCUGGAAUCGGAGCAAGGAGGUGUGAAGUCGGUGGUGUUGAGGCUAGGGCUCCGACGACGGCUUUGCUGCUGUCAAUCGGAGCGAGAGAGGGGUGGGUUUCGGAUCUGAGAACGAGGGAGGCGGCGGCGCCUCGCCGUCG